UACUCCAGGAACAUAUCAGGAAAAAUAUCACUUUGUAUUACCAAGUUGCUCAGUCAGAAUCAGAUCAAUAUUAAACAUGAAGUUCCUGAUUGCUUUAAUGGUCAUCAUGACCCUUGCCCCUGGUUUCUACUCAGCUCCAGCCCUUCAACAACAAUUCGGGUUCUACCCACCUGCACCUGGACCAGCACCAGUAUCUGCUUCUGGACCAAGUUUCUAUAGUGCCCAUGAAUUAUACCGACGUGGAAUCAUCUCCAAUACUCCAAUGGAUUACGCCUAUGGUAAUUUUGGCCCACAUUUUGCUCCAGCUGCAGCCCCAGCAUCAGUACCAAUCUACGCUGAUGGAACCCAAGCCUCACCUUUUGACAGACGCAGAGUAAACCCUGGUCCAUUUGCUUAUUCAAGUUAUUCCAGCGCCACCUAUACUCACGCCUUUGCUACUCCUCACUUUUUUAAUGCCCCAAAUGUCCCUCAUAAUAAUCCUAUUAAUUAAUAAGCAAAAAUAUAUAAAAAUAUAAAAAUAAAACUUUUAUAUAUAAAAAAAAGUUAAUUAAUUAAUAGCAAAAAAAUCGGUAGAUACACGUACAUAAAAUAAAAUUGACAAAAAUAAAA
Dalotia coriaria is the source of this 609-nucleotide long non-coding RNA. RefSeq lists it as uncharacterized. The record is from RefSeq and is a predicted model, not a curated record. The transcript has 2 exons. NCBI's taxonomy places the organism in Eukaryota, Metazoa, Arthropoda, Insecta, Coleoptera, Staphylinidae.